AACAAAAGAAAAAUAACAACAACAAAAAAAAGAUACUCUGAAUAACAGAUUGCUACAUUGGAAAGGCAAACUUCCUUACUGAUGAUAUGCUAAAUGACAUCAAUUUCUACAGUACCUGCUGAAAACAAAAACAAAAACAAACAAACAAAAAACAACAACCAAUAAUUAUAUAAAAAAAAAUAAUUGCUGCUGUCCAUCCUGUCUUUCAUGGGAGUUAGAUUCUUUUUUCUCCUGGAGCCUCAGGAAAGUUUCGCUGUUCAUCCAUGCCAAUCUUCUUCCCCGCCAUUUCAUCCUACAACACAG
This is a long non-coding RNA of Gallus gallus (chicken), 303 nucleotides long. The record is from Ensembl. Lineage: Eukaryota; Metazoa; Chordata; Aves; Galliformes; Phasianidae.